Molecule: ribosomal RNA, 484 nt
Filed under: uncultured bacterium
Lineage: Bacteria
Description: partial 16S ribosomal RNA
Rfam family: Bacterial small subunit ribosomal RNA
Source: RNAcentral
AUUGAACGCUGGCGGCAGGCCUAACACAUGCAAGUCGAGCGGAUGAAGGGAGCUUGCUCCUGGAUUCAGCGGCGGACGGGUGAGUAAUGCCUAGGAAUCUGCCUGGUAGUGGGGGAUAACGUCCGGAAACGGGCGCUAAUACCGCAUACGUCCUGAGGGAGAAAGUGGGGGAUCUUCGGACCUCACGCUAUCAGAUGAGCCUAGGUCGGAUUAGCUAGUUGGUGGGGUAAAGGCCUACCAAGGCGACGAUCCGUAACUGGUCUGAGAGGAUGAUCAGUCACACUGGAACUGGGACACGGCCCAGACUCCUCGGGGGGCAGACAGUGGGAAUUAUGGCACAGUGGGGCAAGGCUGGUUCCGGCAGGCCCGGGGGUGGGAGAAAGGUCUUGGGAUUGUAAGCAAUUUUAGGUGGGAAGAAAGGGAAGGAAUUUAAUCCCUUCUUGUUUGGACUUUACCAAAAGAAAAAGCACCGGCUAACUUCGUC